This 181-nucleotide unclassified non-coding RNA is filed under the name uncultured Mucoromycotina. RNAcentral describes it as "sequence contains ITS1". The record is from RNAcentral. Lineage: Eukaryota; Fungi.
AAAAAAAAAGUAUGAAAGAAUUUUUUUCGGAUUUGAAAAAGCUCAAACCAUCUGAACUUGUGGUAAUAAUGAAAUUUGAAUUGGGCUUAAAAAUGGUGUUUUCGCAAGAGAACAUCGGCUCAAACAACUUUUAUAAACACUUUUAAUUUGACUGAUAUCAAGUAAAAAAAAAGUUUUUAAA